GUCUGCAGCAUCGAAGGUCCCCAAAAACACAGUGGACUCCAUCAUUCUUAAAUGGAAGAAGUUUGGAAUCACCAAGACUCUUCCUAAAGCUGGCCGCAUGACCAAACUGAGCAAUCGGGGAGAAGGAAGGGCCUUGGUGAGUGAGGUGACCAAGAACCCGAUGGUCAGUCUGACAGAGCUCCUCUGUGGAAAUGGGAGAUUCUUCCAGAAGGACAACCAUCUCUGCAGCACUCCAUCAAUCAGGCCUUUAUGGUAGAGUGGCCAGAUGGAAGACACUCCUCAGUAAAAGGCAAACAUUUAUAUUAACAUACAAUAUAUUCCUCUUAUAAUUAUAGCAUUAACUUUCUCAUCAGAUCAGUAUCUCAAUGCAUUCUUAGUCUAAAUGACUAUACAUUAUAAAGUGUGUAGACCUCCACAAUCAACCUGAUACCCCAAAAUAUACAAUUUUAGACAAGUCUAAAUCAAUGACGGGUACAGUUGGCCAACCCCUUUCAUUCUUCUGGCGUCUCUUCAUUGUCUUCUUCAGAUAGCUUCACAGUUCAAAGUGGAUGGUCCAUGAUAAUGUCCCAAUUCCAAUGUGUCACUUGGACCGCCACCACCUUAUGUAUUUUCCAUUUGCUAACCAGUAUAUCAGCAACAUGAGAGAAGUUUAGAACGGAUCUCUCUCCAUGCUCCUCCACGUGGUCCUGUCGCACUCCUGAGAGAAAAGGCAUGAGAGAAAAGGCAUGAGAGAAAAGGCAUGAGAGAAAAGGCUGUUGAUACCUUCAACUGGAUACUGUGUGGGUUGCUGGCUCUGACUCAGGUCUCAUGGUAGAAGUGGUGAAGGACAGGGCCGUAGUGAACGCCAUUGUUGCCAUUACGUCACACUGGUUAGAGGGGGUUUGAGGCUCACACUGUUCUAGGCCAAAUGAUCCCUGCCAUGCAUCUAGAUACCACCUGGGGUCCCUAUCGCCAGAACCAGAACAACAGUUUAGUUUAGGGCAUUUCUGAUUCAAACAGAUCAGAUGAUACAGUGUCCCUUUUAAGUGGAAUAAACACCUUCUAGAAAAAAACCUUUCAAGUAAUCCUAUCUUUCCAACCUGUUGCAUUCAUUUAGUCUAAAUAUAAAACCUGUUGCAUUCAUUUAGUCUAAAUAUAAAACCUGUUGCAUUCAUUUAGUCUAAAUAUAAAACCUGUUGCAUUCAUUUAGUCUAAAUAUAAAACCUGUUGCAUUCAUUUAGUCUAAAUAUAAAACCUGUUGCAUUCAUUUAGUCUAAAUAUAAAACCUGUUGCAUUCAUUUAGUCUAAAUAUAAAACCUGUUGCAUUCAUUUAGUCUAAAUAUAAAACCUGUUGCAUUCAUUUAGUCUAAAUAUAAAACCUGUUGCAUUCAUUUAGUCUAAAUAUAAAACCUGUUGCAUUCAUUUAGUCUAAAUAUAAAACCUGUUGCAUUCAUUUAGUCUAAAUAUAAAACCUGUUGCAUUCAUUUAGUCUAAAUAUAAAACCUGUUGCAUUCAUUUAGUCUAAAUAUAAAACCUGUUGCAUUCAUUUAGUCUAAAUAUAAAACCUGUUGCAUUCAUUUAGUCUAAAUAUAAAACCUGUUGCAUUCAUUUAGUCUAAAUAUAAAACCUGUUGUUUAACAAAUCUAGGACCUUUAAAAACGUUGGUGCGGUCUUAUCAGCUUAAUAUUCAGUACUAAAACAUUUACUUGGAUCUACUUUAACUUGAAACACUGUUCCACAUAAUGGAAACCAAUUAUCAUUGUUAUAUAUUCUUGCUUAAAUCACUGGUGAAGUUGUAAAAAUCAUCUCCCAUUCUUCUGCACCAAAUGUCCCACUGUGUCACUUACAGCCCGCUCGAGCCUAGCGGGCACCACUCGCUUUCACCCGCAGACUAAAACAUUUCAUUAUUAGAGUCUAUUCAAAAACCACUAAUAACAUAUUCCCAUUCACAUACUGUCAACAAUCAUUACAUUUUAAGUUAUCAAUUGUGAUCAUGUUCACAGUUCUAAAUUAGUCCUUCAAUUUCAACUAAACAAGCUGCUAAAUCGUUCAGUUGAAAUCUUAAAACAAACUGGCUGCUGUAUCUAGCUAAGCAAAUGUUGGUAUAAUUGAAUUAUUGUUUAGUCAUUAUUCAUAAAAUUCCUAACAGCAAACCAUAGCAAUAGUUGAGUUACAAUCAGAAACCCAGAUUUUAGUAACAUAGACCCUAUGCCUAUAGAAAUACCAAGUCAAAAUGACAAAUCCUGCAAAUAGACCAAUUAUAUAAUGGUUUGUAGUUUUAACAUCUGGCCCAUAAUAAUGACAAUUACCAGAAAAUAGCCUUAAAGUUCAUCCAAGUGUUUCUUUGCAAAGAUUUCACAUGUGCAAAUGGGAUUUAGCAGUCGACGAGUUGAAUUGACAUUCAUUGGUUUGGAAACAGAUCUGCCGAGUUUAAUAAAAGUGGAUGUCUUUUCCUUUUCUCCUCGAAGAUUAUUAUUUUGAUGGAAAACCUCAUUUGGCUUCACGGCAGUAUGGUCAGGUCUUCUACUCUAGGGCAGUACGGUCAGGUCUUCUACUCUAGGGCAGUACGGUCAGGUCUUCUACUCUAGGGCAGUACGGUCAGGUCUUCUACUCUAGGGCAGUACGGUCAGGUCUUCUACUCUAGGGCAGUACGGUCAGGUCUUCUACUCUAGGGCAGUACGGUCAGGUCUUCUACUCUAGGGCAGUACGGUCAGGUCUUCUACUCUAGGGCAGUACGGUCAGGUCUUCUACUCUAGGACAGUACGGUCAGGUCUUCUACUCUAGGGCAGUACGGUCAGGUCUUCUACUCUAGGGCAGUACGGUCAGGUCUUCUACUCUAGGGCAGUACGGUCAGGUCUUCUACUCUAGGGCAGUACGGUCAGGUCUUCUACUCUAGGGCAGUACGGUCAGGUCUUUUACUCUAGGGCAGUACGGUCAGGUCUUCUACUCUAGGGCAGUACGGUCAGGUCUUCUACUCUAGGGCAGUACGGUCAGGUCUUCUACUCUAGGGCAGUACGGUCAGGUCUUCUACUCUAGGGCAGUACGGUCAGGUCUUCUACUCUAGGGCAGUACGGUCAGGUCUUCUACUCUAGGGCAGUACGGUCAGGUCUUCUACUCUAGGGCAGUACGGUCAGGUCUUCUACUCUAGGGCAGUACGGUCAGGUCUUCUACUCUAGGGCAGUACGGUCAGGUCUUCUACUCUAGGGCAGUACGGUCAGGUCUUCUACUCUAGGGCAGUACGGUCAGGUCUUCUACUCUAGGGCAGUACGGUCAGGUCUUUUACUCUAGGGCAGUACGGUCAGGUCUUCUACUCUAGGGCAGUACGGUCAGGUCUUCUACUCUAGGGCAGUACGGUCAGGUCUUCUACUCUAGGGCAGUACGGUCAGGUCUUCUACUCUAGGGCAGUACGGUCAGGUCUUCUACUCUAGGGCAGUACGGUCAGGUCUUCUACUCUAGGGCAGUACGGUCAGGUCUUCUACUCUAGGGCAGUACGGUCAGGUCUUCUACUCUAGGGCAGUACGGUCAGGUCUUCUACUCUAGGGCAGUACGGUCAGGUCUUCUACUCUAGGGCAGUACGGUCAGGUCUUCUACUCUAGGGCAGUACGGUCAGGUCUUCUACUCUAGGGCAGUACGGUCAGGUCUUCUACUCUAGGGCAGUACGGUCAGGUCUUCUACUCUAGGGCAGUACGGUCAGGUCUUCUACUCUAGGGCAGUACGGUCAGGUCUUCUACUCUAGGGCAGUACGGUCAGGUCUUUUACUCUAGGGCAGUACGGUCAGGUCUUCUACUCUAGGGCAGUACGGUCAGGUCUUCUACUCUAGGGCAGUACGGUCAGGUCUUCUACUCUAGGGCAGUACGGUCAGGUCUUCUACUCUAGGGCAGUACGGUCAGGUCUUCUACUCUAGGGCAGUACGGUCAGGUCUUCUACUCUAGGGCAGUACGGUCAGGUCUUCUACUCUAGGGCAGUACGGUCAGGUCUUCUACUCUAGGGAAGUACGGUCAGGUCUUCUACUCUAGGGCAGUACGGUCAGGUCUUCUACUCUAGGGCAGUACGGUCAGGUCUUCUACUCUAGGGCAGUACGGUCAGGUCUUCUACUCUAGGGCAGUACGGUCAGGUCUUCUACUCUAGGGCAGUACGGUCAGGUCUUCUACUCUAGGGCAGUACGGUCAGGUCUUCUACUCUAGGGCAGUACGGUCAGGUCUUCUACUCUAGGGCAGUACGGUCAGGUCUUCUACUCUAGGGCAGUACGGUCAGGUCUUCUACUCUAGGGCAGUACGUUCACGACUUAGUUUUUAUUGAAUUUUUUCCAAGAAAUGUUAGUCUCACCCUAUUCGAUUUGUCUUCGUUUGGGAUCCUGUAUCCGUCUGCCGGCCCCAUCUGGAGGAGCCUGGGAGGGUUGCCUUGAAUCACACCUAGAGUGAUUCCCAUGCACGGUUGACCCUGGUCCCCAGGAGUCGUCAGCAGACAGAGAUAAGGAUCCCAUCCUUAAUGUUGUGGAAAAUUCUUUAUUAAGUGAGAGAGACUUUGUUAAACCCCCCGGAUAAAUUUCUCAGAUGCAAAGACGAUUAGAAACAAAGAGAUGUGUUAUACUCCUACAGGCUAUCUUUAUCUCAGGUUACAAACACCAACUCAUUCUAGGUUUUAUCACCAAGCAAUCAUAAAUACAUUUUUAGCACCCAACUAAGUCACACUCACAGAAGAAGAGAGUUCUCAUCAAAGCAAUUCGAUCCACAAACAGUAUUAAAUCAUCAUCUUGUAUUUUUCUACCAUAAUGGGGAGAAGGUUCACCUUCCAACAGGACAACGACUGUAAACACACAGCCAAGACAACGCAGGAGUGGCUUCAAGACAAGUCUCUGAAUGUCAUUGAGUGGCCCAGUCAGAGCCUGGACUUGAACCCGAUCUAACGUUUCUGGAGAGACCUGAAAAUAGCUGUGCAGUGACGCUCCCCAUCCAACCUGACAGAGCUUGAGAGGAUCUGCAGAGAAGAAUGUGAGAAACUCCCCAAAUACAGGUGUGCCAAACUUGUAGCAUCACACCCCAAGAAGACUCAAGGCUGUAAUGUGGUCCUUCUGUGGCUCAGUUGGUAGAGCAUGGCGCUUGUAAUGCCAGGGUAGUGGGUUCGAUUCCGGGACCACCCAUACGUAGAAUGUAUGCACACAUGACUGUAAGUCGCUUUGGAUAAAAGCGUCAGCUAAAUGGCAUAUAU
Long non-coding RNA from Oncorhynchus keta (chum salmon), 5187 nucleotides. RefSeq lists it as uncharacterized. NCBI's taxonomy places the organism in Eukaryota, Metazoa, Chordata, Actinopteri, Salmoniformes, Salmonidae. The transcript is spliced from 3 exons. The record is from RefSeq and is a predicted model, not a curated record.